CAGUCGCCGCGGUAAUACGUAGGGUGCAAGCGUUAAUCGGAAUUACUGGGCGUAAAGCGCGCGUAGGCGGUUACUCAAGUCAGAGGUGAAAGCCCGGGGCUCAUCCCCGGAACUGCCUUUGAAACUAGGUAACUAGAAUCUUGGAGAGGUCAGUGGAAUUCCGAGUGUAGAGGUGAAAUUCGUAGAUAUUCGGAGGAACACCAGUGGCGAAGGCGGCUCACUGGUCCAUUACUGACGCUGAGGUGCGAAAGCGUGGGGAGCAAACAGGAUUAGAUACCCCAGUAGUCCCUGUCUCUUAUAC
RNAcentral lists this ribosomal RNA (301 nucleotides) under uncultured bacterium. RNAcentral's name for it is "partial 16S ribosomal RNA". It matches the Rfam family "Bacterial small subunit ribosomal RNA", at positions 509 to 807 of the family's 1533-position model. The record is from RNAcentral.